ACACAGAGAGAGGCAGAAGCAGGCUCCAUGCAGAGAGCCCGACGUGGGACUCGAUCCCCGGUCUCCAGGAUCAGCCCUGGGCUGCAGGCGGCGCUAAACCGCUGCACCACCAGGGCUGCCCUGCAAGUCUUCUCUACCCAUUGCAUACUUUAGUUACAAAUUAAGAAACAGCAUAAUCCCAACUGCAUCUUUAAGAGAAGUGCAAAUUCAAUAUGUUAUUACCCAAUACUAGAGGCAGCUGAUAUAUAUGUCUGUCUACCUAUCUGUCAUCUUUUAUUUUCUCCCUCACAGUACAGGAGUAGCAUCUGGAGGCAGGAGUAAAUAUUAUCUGCUGUGUUAAACCGAAAGGUCAUUCAUCAAUCUGAAUAUUUUUGUGGUGGAGAUUCUUAUCACCUAACUCAAGAAUCGCAAUGUGAGAGAAAAGCCAAGAUCCUAUUCUGGCAUGGAGACUUUUGGCACUGUGGAGGGGUUAAACUGCUCUAGGAGAAAUAAUCAUAUCCUGCAGUUCCAACCCAAGAAAAUCCCACACAUUUCUCAGAAGCCUGGGUGUGUGAAGACAGCAUUGAAAGACACGUUCAUUCACUGAGGCUCAUGAAGACCCAUCUGGCAGGAUCUUGUCAGCCAGUGCCAGCUGGUGAGGCAAAUGGUGAUGGGGACUCCCAACGGUGUCUUCCCAACCUGGCAUCAAAUUUGGAUCACUUUUUGGUGUAUACCAUGCAAAAUCUCAAGCCGACUUCAUGCUGAGUAUGCAGCCUGAGGCAGGGCUCAAUCUCACGACCCUGAGAUCAUGACCUGAGCCGAAAUCAAGUGUCAGAUGCUUAACUGACUGAACCACCUGAUAUGUCCUGAUAUUCAUACAUUUAAAACAAGGAAUCCUACGAUGGUUAUAUAAAAUAUUUCUAGUUUUUCUUCUGGAUGCAUGAUGGACCAAGAUGGCUUAUUCAUCUCCAGAAAUCACACCUAGCUGGUGGCAAGGAGGUGGUGAUGAGCACAUUCCAAUCCUUUUAGGAUGGUCUUGGAAGUAUCAUAAACCAAUUCUUUAUAUCCUAUUGAUGAACAUCUGAGAGUGUGAAAGAAAGUGGAAGAACUGACCUGGAAUAAAAGCACAAGAGCAGGGGCAUGGAAGCCAAGCAAGUGGAUACUUUAAGAAAGGAACAAGGGGGAUGCCUUGUGGCUCAGCGGUUGAGUGUCUGCCUUUGGCUCAGGGCAUGAUCCCAGGUCCGGGAAUCAAGUCCUGCGUUGGGCUUCCUGUGAGGAGCCUACUUCGCUCUGUCGAUGUCUCUGCUUCUCUGUCUGUAUCUCUCAUGAAUAAAUUAAUAAAAUCUUUAAAAAAAAGAAAGGAACAAGGGGUCAAUGGUGCAUAAUGUAGCAGAGAGUGCAAAGUGUUCUUUGGGUAGUCCAAGUGAGGAGUGACCACUAUGAUUA
This is a long non-coding RNA of Canis lupus familiaris (dog), 1425 nucleotides long. RefSeq lists it as uncharacterized. Lineage: Eukaryota; Metazoa; Chordata; Mammalia; Carnivora; Canidae. The transcript has 7 exons. The record is from RefSeq and is a predicted model, not a curated record.